RNAcentral lists this ribosomal RNA (497 nucleotides) under Uroteuthis chinensis. RNAcentral describes it as "partial large subunit ribosomal RNA". It matches the Rfam family "Bacterial large subunit ribosomal RNA", at positions 1807 to 2558 of the family's 2925-position model. Lineage: Eukaryota; Metazoa; Mollusca; Cephalopoda; Myopsida; Loliginidae. The record is from RNAcentral.
CCAAAAACAUCUCUCUUUGUAUAAUAUAAAUAAAGAGUUGGGCCUGCUCGGUGAAACGUUUUAACAGCUGCGGUAUUUUAACUGUACUAAGGUAGCAUAAUAAUUUGCCUUAUAAUUUGAGGCUAGAAUGAAUGGUUUGACGAAGGUUAAUCUGUCUCUGCUUUAUUUUUUAGAAAUUAAUUUUCAUAGUGAAAAAGCUUGAAUUUCUUAAGGGGACGAGAAGACCCUACUGAGCUUAUAAUUUUAUUAUCACAUAUAUUUAUGUAUAAUGUGCUAUAUAAAUUUUAAUUGGGGUGAUUAAGGAAUAAUAUAGCUAUUUUAUAACUUCCUUAGAUAUUAUAUUGUUGAAUUAAGUAACCGAUUAAUUAAUAGAAUUGUAUUAUGUAUUGCUUAUAAUAUAGUUACCAUAGGGAUAACAGCGUAAUUUACUUAGAGAGUUCUUAUUGAAAAGUAAGAUUGCGACCUCGAUGUUGGAUUAAAGUGACCUUAAGGUGCAG